GGAUGGAUCCCAGGGCCUCACACCUCACACACACUGGGCAGUGCGCUCCUGGAGUUACUCUCUGAGCUCCUCAUUUAGUGCUUUCUUCCUCAAAAUGCACUGAGGCUCCACACCUCUCUUAUAAUGGGUUAUCAGUCUGAUCUGAGGGAAACAUUUCAAACUGGCCACUUAACUCUGCCCUUGCCAGAACCCAACACUUCUAAGGCUGCCUCAUCCUCCAGGACCGGUGCUGACCACUGCUGCCCCACUUGGUCAAGGCCAUACUUGUGGACCUUCUCCAUGGAGCAGGGCCGACCCCGGAGCAGCCUCAGCCUGGCCAGCAGUGCUUCCACCGUCUCCUCUCUGAGUAGCCUGAGCACCAAGAAGCCUACCCGUGCAGUACACAAGGUCCAUGCCUUUGGAAAAAGGAACAAUGCACUUCGACGAGACCCCAACUUGCCGGUGCACAUCCGUGGCUGGCUGCACAAACAGGACAGCUCAGGCCUCCGGCUGUGGAAGCGCCGUUGGUUCGUCCUUUCAGGCCAUUGCCUCUUCUACUAUAAGGAUAGCAGAGAAGAGAGUGUCCUGGGCAGUGUAUUAUUACCCAGCUACAGUGUCAGGCCAGAUGGGCCCGGAGCCCCUCGUGGCCGGCGAUUCACCUUCACAGCAGAGCACCCGGGCAUGAGGACCUAUGUCCUUGCAGCUGACACAUUAGAGGACCUGAGAGGUUGGCUUCGAGCACUGGGGAGGGCCUCUCGUGCGGAGGGGGAAGAUUGCGGACUCCCGAGGUCACCUGCACGUCCCAGGCCUGGGGAAGGUCCUGGGGGACCCGGAGGACCCCCAGAGGUGAACAGAAGGGAAGAGGGGCGCAUCUCAGAAUCACCAGAGGUAGCUCGGCUCUCCAGAGGUCUUGGCAGACAUGAAACGCACACUCCCAACUCUACAGUGGAUCUGCAGACUGACACCUGGAGUCGUAGAACCCGGAGCCCAGAGUUGUUCUCACCCCUUUCCCGGCCUCCCUCCCCUCUGAGCCUUCCCCGUCCUCGCUCUGCCCCGGCCCGGCGACCCCCUCUCUCAGCAGGAGACAUCUCAUUUCCUGCCCGACCGCAUACUCCUUUGAGUCGCAUCGAUGUCCGACCUCCUCUGGAUUGGGGACCCCAAAGACAGACCCUCUCCCGACCUCCCAUUCCACGCCGAGGACCUUCCUCUGAAGCUGGCGGAGAACGGCCACCCAGGAGUCCCCAGCCCCGGACACCAGAGCAGAGAACGCAGUCUACCCAGGCCACCUCUGGUUCGUCCACCUAUCUCCAGCUGCCCCCAAGACCUCCUGGGACCCAGGCCUCCAUGAUUUUGCUGCCAGGACCCCCUGUGGACUCAGCUUUGCAUCAGAGCUUGGAGACAGAUACGUUGUUGACUAAGCUGUGUGGGCAGGACCGGCUCCUGAGGCAGCUACAGGAGGAUCUGGACAAGAGGCAGGAGGAGAAGGAGCAGCUGGAGGCAGCUUUGGAGCUGACCCGGCAGCAGCUGGGCCAAGCUACCAGGGAGGCUGCAGCUUCCGGGAAGGCCUGGGGUCGCCAGCGCCUUCUGCAGGACCGGCUGGUGAACGUGAGGGCUGCUCUGUGUCACCUGGCUCAGGAGCGAGAGCGAGUUUGGGACACAUACAGCGGCCUGGAGCAGGACCUCGGCACCCUAAGAGAGACGCUCGAGUACCUGCUGCACCUCGGGUCUCCCCAGGACCGUGCGUGUGCUCAACAGCAGCUGUGGAUGGUGGAGGACACGCUGGCAGGUCUGGGUGGCCCCCAGAAACAGCCCCCACAUACUGAUCCCAAGUCUCCAUCCCCUGCACCCCAAGGAGAAGAGUCCUCAGAGAGGGAGACCCUGGAAUGGAACUUAAAUCGUCAGACUUGGUGGCAAGUACCCUUAUCUGCGGAGAUAUCUCACCAGCCCCUUAUUUAGUAAAUGUAUUGUUCUUUAUUAUUCCAUCUGUCACCUACCUUUCCCGUCCACCUCAGGCAGAAUAGGCACCAACACCAAAGAGAACCUCAAGGCUGCUUUGGUAAAGUGCUGGGUUUCUAGGGGCUGACUACAGGAGCAUGCCUGUGUGACUCUAAGGCAGCUGCUUCACUGGGAAGCAACCCUAUCAGCCAGGUCCACCGCCUAGCAUGGCGCCUGCUCUGCUCAUGUGUGAAAAACCUCACACAGUGCUUUGACUGCCUUACAUAGCAAAGGGUGAAUGCUUUGGAUGUUGGUUAAGCAACGUGUUUAAGAUGAGUGGUUAAGCAACGUCUUCAAAGUCACAGAGCUAACGAGGGGCAGAGAUGGGAUUUGAAGCCAGUCUAUCUGGCUCUGGGUUUGUAAGCUUCUCCUAGCUCUGCCUCAGUUAAUGACAGUAUUUGAUCCCCACUCCACCCUUCCAGAGCCUUUCAGAGUCACUGGAGCUCAGCUCCCCUCAGUCCCCUGAGGUGGACUGGAGUCGUCCCUCAGGCGGUGACAGAGCCCUCAGCAGCCCUCAGUCAGGUGUUGGGUCUCCAAGGGUCUCCCGGGCAUCCAGCCCUGAAUGUCGUCAACCCUCAUCUCCACUGCUGAGAACUAAGGCCCCGCUGGCGCGGCCUCGUAUGAGCGCGCAGGAGCAGCUGGAGCGCAUGCGUAGAAACCAAGCAUGCGGGCUCCCUCUUCCUCGCCCUACCUCCCCGAGGCUCCUGACCCUGGGGAGGACACUGUCCCCAGCUCCACGCCAGCCUGACAUGGAACAGAGGCCUAUUGUUGGAGCUGCGAAAUGGCUCAGGAGUUCUGGGUCCUGGAGUAGUCCCAGGCACUCUGCAACCUGCUCACCAGUACCUGGAGGCCACCGGGAGCGAGUGCUCAGCCUCUCCCAGGCUCUAGCUACAGAGGCUUCCCAGUGGCACAGGCUGAUGGCAGCCUCUCCAGGCAGAAAUUUGGAUACCAGGGGAGACUGUCUCCAGCCAAGCCCACAGCCUCCCAGUGAAGAACUGCCCCAGGUCACCUCGUCCCCAGCUCCUCACAAGGCUACUUCUGCUACCACAGGGUUCUCAUGCCAAGGCAGCCGGAGAGGCCUGGCCCCAUGGGAGGCCAGGUGGGACCCUGGGAAGGCCCCUCCAGCUCUGACCCAGGAAGAGGGGGCAUGGCCCUUCAGAGUCACUCUGCUGCAGUCCAGCUUUUGACUCCCAUCUUUAUACUGAGCCCUACAAGCUGGAAGCACAACUUUGAGGUGUGGGACCAUUCAGGACCACAGGGGAGAGGUUCAUUCCAGCAUGUAUUCUAGGAGGGCCAGGGCCGCUAUGGUCAAAGAUUGAUUUUCCCAACACUGUCCAAAAUUGGAUGAAAACUUUGAACUAUUAGUCAAUAAAUAGCUUUUAUUCUCUC
Molecule: RNA transcript, 3363 nt
Organism: Mus musculus (house mouse)
Lineage: Eukaryota; Metazoa; Chordata; Mammalia; Rodentia; Muridae
Gene: Plekha4
Gene name: pleckstrin homology domain containing, family A (phosphoinositide binding specific) member 4
Exons: 20
Source: RefSeq, marked validated